UGGGGAAUAUUGGACAAUGGAGGGAACUCUGAUCCAGCAAUUCUGUGUGUGUGAAGAAGGUUUUAGGACUGUAAAACACUUUUAGUAGGGAAGAAAAAAAUGACGGUACCUACAGAAGAAGCAACGGCUAAAUACGUGCCAGCAGCCGCGGUAAUACGUAUGUUGCGAGCGUUAUCCGGAAUUAUUGGGCUUAAAGGGCAUCUAGGCGGUAAGACAAGUUGAAGGUGAAAACCUGUGGCUCAACCAUAGGCUUGCCUACAAAACUGUUGAACUAGAGUACUGGAAAGGUGGGUGGAACUACACGAGUAGAGGUGAAAUUCGUAGAUAUGUGUAGGAAUGCCGAUGAUGAAGAUAACUCACUGGACAGCAACUGACGCUGAAGUGCGAAAGCUAGGGGAGCAAACAGG
Molecule: ribosomal RNA, 407 nt
Filed under: Verrucomicrobiota bacterium
Lineage: Bacteria; Pseudomonadati; Verrucomicrobiota
Description: Verrucomicrobia bacterium partial 16S ribosomal RNA
Rfam family: Bacterial small subunit ribosomal RNA
Source: RNAcentral